RNAcentral lists this ribosomal RNA (678 nucleotides) under uncultured bacterium. Its description in RNAcentral is "bacterial SSU rRNA". It matches the Rfam family "Bacterial small subunit ribosomal RNA", at positions 74 to 784 of the family's 1533-position model. The record is from RNAcentral.
GUGGAGCAAUCCAUGAGUACAGUGGCGUACGGGUGAGUAACACGUGGAUCAUCUACCUCUUGAUGGGGAAUAACCCUGGGAAACCGGGGCUAAUACCGCAUAAGCCUGAAAAGGGAAAGCAGCAAUGCGUCGAGAGAGGAGUCCGCGGCCGAUUAGCUAGUUGGUAGGGUAAAGGCCUACCAAGGCAAUGAUCGGUAGCCGGCCUGAGAGGGCACACGGCCACACUGGCACUGAAACACGGGCCAGACUCCUACGGGAGGCAGCAGUGGGGAAUCUUGCACAAUGGAGGAAACUCUGAUGCAGCGACGCCGCGUGAGUGAUGAAGCCCUUCGGGGUGUAAAGCUCUUUCGGCAGGAACGAUAAUGACGGUACCUGCAGAAGAAGCUGCGGCUAACUACGUGCCAGCAGCCGCGGUAAUACGUAGGCAGCAAGCGUUGUUCGGAAUUACUGGGCGUAAAGAGUGUGUAGGCGGUUCUCUAAGUUCCGUGUGAAAUCUCCCGGCUCAACUGGGAGGGUGCGCGGGAAACUGGAGGGCUCGAGUAUGGGAGAGGAAAGCGGAAUUCCUGGUGUAGCGGUGAAAUGCGUAGAUAUCAGGAGGAACACCUGCGGUGUAGACAGCUUUCUGGACCAUCACUGACGCUGAGACACGAAAGCGUGGGUAGCAAACAGGAUUAGAUA